This 460-nucleotide ribosomal RNA is filed under the name uncultured bacterium. RNAcentral describes it as "bacterial SSU rRNA". It matches the Rfam family "Bacterial small subunit ribosomal RNA", at positions 338 to 795 of the family's 1533-position model. The record is from RNAcentral.
CCUACGGGUGGCAGCAGUAAGGAAUAUUGGUCAAUGGACGAAAGUCUGAACCAGCCAUGCCGCGUGAAGGAUGAAGGUCCUCUGGAUUGUAAACUUCUUUUAUAUGGGACGAAAAAAGGCCUUUCUAGGUCGUCUGACGGUACCAUAUGAAUAAGCACCGGCUAACUCCGUGCCAGCAGCCGCGGUAAUACGGAGGGUGCAAGCGUUAUCCGGAUUCACUGGGUUUAAAGGGUGCGUAGGUGGGCAGGUAAGUCAGUGGUGAAAUCCCCGAGCUCAACUUGGGAACUGCCAUUGAUACUAUCUGUCUUGAAUACCGUGGAGGUUAGCGGAAUAUGUCAUGUAGCGGUGAAAUGCUUAGAUAUGACAUAGAACACCGAUUGCGAAGGCAGCUGGCUACACGAAUAUUGACACUGAGGCACGAAAGCGUGGGGAUCAAACAGGAUUAGAUACCCUUGUAGUC